RNAcentral lists this ribosomal RNA (492 nucleotides) under uncultured bacterium. RNAcentral describes it as "partial 16S ribosomal RNA". It matches the Rfam family "Bacterial small subunit ribosomal RNA", at positions 29 to 507 of the family's 1533-position model. The record is from RNAcentral.
AGUGAACGCUGGCGGUAGGCCUAACACAUGCAAGUCGAACGGCAGCACAGUAAGAGCUUGCUCUUACGGGUGGCGAGUGGCGGACGGUUGAGGAAUACAUCGGAAUCUACUUUUUCGUGGGGGAUAACGUAGGGAAGCUUACGCUAAUACCGCAUACGACCUACGGGUGAAAGCAGGGGAUCUUCGGACCUUGCGCGAUUGAAUGAGCCGAUGUCGGAUUAGCUAGUUGGCGGGGUAAAGGCCCACCAAGGCGACGAUCCGUAGCUGGUCUGAGAGGAUGAUCAGCCACACUGGAACUGAGACACGGUCCAGACUCCUACGGGAGGCAGCAGUGGGGAAUAUUGGACAAUGGGCGCAAGCCUGAUCCAGCCAUACCGCGUGGGUGAAGAAGGCCUUCGGGUUGUAAAGCCCUUUUGUUGGGAAAGAAAAGCAGCAGGUUAAUACCCCGCUGUUCUGACGGUACCCAAAGAAUAAGCACCGGCUAACUUCGUG